Molecule: ribosomal RNA, 373 nt
Filed under: uncultured organism
Description: partial 16S ribosomal RNA
Rfam family: Bacterial small subunit ribosomal RNA
Source: RNAcentral
GUAGGUGGCAAGCGUUGUCCGGAAUUAUUGGGCGUAAAGCGCGCGCAGGGCGGUCCUUUAAGUCUGAUGUGAAAGCCCACGGCUCAACCGUGGAGGGUCAUUGGAAACUGGGGGACUUGAGUACAGAAGGGGAAAGCGGAAUUCCAAGUGUAGCGGUGAAAUGCGUAGAGAUUUGGAGGAACACCAGUGGCGAAGGCGGCUUUCUGGUCUGUAACUGACGCUGAGGCGCGAAAGCGUGGGGAGCAAACAGGAUUAGAUACCCUGGUAGUCCACGCCGUAAACGAUGAGUGCUAAGUGUUAGGGGGUUUCCGCCCCUUAGUGCUGCAGCUAACGCAUUAAGCACUCCGCCUGGGGAGUACGGCCGCAAAGGCUG